ACAACAAACACAUGCAUUUUGUUGUUGCUUGAGGUCCAUAAAGUGUCAAACAAGAAAUGUCAAAUUUGCCGAGUUUGACAAUUGAAGAAAAAAGCAAAAUGGCCGGCAAGUCAAGAAACGUCAAAUUUGCUGAGUUUGACAAUUGAAGUAACAAGCAAAAUGAUCGGCAGAAUCAGAAACUUACGAGCGUUGUGGAGCAGGAACAACAAAUGUGCCCACCAACAUCUUUUGACCGGUGCAUCUGCGGAUCUUACUUCAUCCAUUGCUUUUGCCAACUGCUGUAUGUGGAAAAAUCGAAAAGGAUCACACCUGUACUUGUACCUGCACCACGGACGACGCCAACCACCUUCAAUUUCAUCAACUCAGUCUGGUUCAGCUUCGUCCAAUUUUUUUUAUCGUUUGCUCCAGUUCCUCUUCACACAAUUUAGUGUAACGUUUCUGCCCGCCGCCAGCACCAGUAGCAGUACCAGCACCAACAAUCAAAGAAAAUAUGUAAACAUUUUGUUUGCCGGUUGGAAUAAUUUAAGGCACAUUUAUUUGACCAGUAAAGAGUUUACAUCAGAUGAUUUAACUGAUAUAGGUGAAAUUGGUCGGGGUGGUUUUGGCACUGUGAACAAGAUGAUAUUCAAAGUAGGCAAGGCAAUGGCAGUGAAACGCAUACGCUCCACAUUCGAUGAAAAGGAACUGAAGCAAUUACUUAUGGAUUUGGAAGUGGUGAUGAAUUUAAACGCCUGACCCUAUAUAGUGCAAUUCUGUGGAGCGCUAUUCAUAGAAGGCGACUGCUGGAUUUGAUAAAAUUAAUGGAUACCUCGAUGGACAAAUUUUGUAAAUACAUUUACGAGUGUAAACAGCAGCGCAUACCCGAGUGGAUACUUGCAAAAAUUACGGAGGCGGAGUCAAUUGCGGAGACUAAAGAUGCAGGAUGUCGGCCGUACAUGAUGCCGGAACGCAUAGAUCCAGAGCGCGCUAAGGCUUAUGAUGUGUGGAGUGAUGUGUAGUCGCUGGGCAUAUCGUUGAUGGAAGUUGCUACCGGAGUGUUUCCAUAUCCUAUAUGGGAUUCGGAGUUCGAGCAGUUGUAGUAUUGAAUUUGCAGUUGGUAAUUUUAAGGU
This is an RNA transcript of Rhagoletis zephyria (snowberry fruit fly), 1109 nucleotides long. It is a transcript of the gene named dual specificity mitogen-activated protein kinase kinase 4-like, with no coding region annotated. The record is from RefSeq and is a predicted model, not a curated record. NCBI's taxonomy places the organism in Eukaryota, Metazoa, Arthropoda, Insecta, Diptera, Tephritidae.